CCAAAGCAAGAACAAAGGAAGAAAAGAAAGAACAAGAACCCUAGGGUGAAAAUUCAAGAGAAAAUUGGUGGAUUUCAAGUAAUCAAGCAAUCAAAGGUAAAAUUUCUUGAUUUUGACUUGUGAUCUACCUUUCCCAUACAUUCUUUUGCAUUUUCCAUGGUUGAAUCACAUGAUUUCAUGAUGGGUAUCUUGCUGGCUGAACACUUAGAGAGAGGUUUUGAUGCUUGAUUUGGUUAGAUUUCAAUGUAUUUUAGUGUUUUUAGUUGAUUGGUGAUGUGUAGCAUGAAAAUCAAGCAAGAAAAAUUCAUGUUCUUCCAUCACCCAUCAUUGGCUGAAUUCUCCAUGUGGAAUAUUGAGGAUGAUUUUGAUUUUAUUUCAAGUGAUUUGGUUAGGAAUUAGUGAUUUAUGGUGUGAGAAUCAAGUAGGAAAAAUCAUAGUGUUGAUGCACCCACCAUGGCUGAAUUUUCCAAGAGAAAAUGUGAGGAUGAUUUUGCCAUAUUUCAAGUUAUUUAAUUUGUGUUUGAUGAUUUGGAGUAUUGGGAGAAAAAUGGAAUUAUUUGGAGUUAAAUUGGACAUAUUGGCCAAUUAAUCGGGUGAUAGAUCGAAUUAGGCCAAUAUCGUUUUAUUUAGGUACAUAAUUGAAUUUAUAUUGAACACCGUAUUUAGAUAGUUACCCAAGUAUUUCACAUCCCAUUUCAUGCAUUAGUAUAGAGCCUGAAUUGGUUUUAUAACAAUUUAGCACAAAUGUAGUAAAUGGCUUAUUGCGCAUUAUGUCUACGUGGUGAGCAUUAUGGCAAAAGUAAAGAGAUAGUACCCGAGGAUCAAGAAUCGGAGUACUCGAAAUUCGACUCACGAAAUAGUGAGUAACCUUACUAUCGUCUUAAUUAUCUAAAGUAGUUUUUAUUCAUUGUGAUUUUAUAGAAAAAUAUGUUUAAAUGGUAAAUCUUUAGGUUUUAUAAACAAAAUGUGUUUAAAUGAAAUGAUUUUAUAAAUUGUCUUGAAAUUUAAUGAUGGUUUUGAAAAUGGAGUAAUUGGAGACUAAUUGCUGUGUUAUAAAUCAUGGUUUGAAUGGAAUGGCUUAUGAUAAUAUUGGCAUGAAUGGUUGAAUUGGUAUUUGUGUUGAAAAUGCAUAAACUGUUGUUUGCCUUGAUAGGCUAGAUAAUAAUAAAAUUGCCAUGUCAUGCUAUUGAAUUUUACUGAAUUGGUGGGUUAUUGAUUAGUCGCUGCAGUGGACGGGUUUCGUAGACCAGCCUAUUAGAGGGGGCACGGUAACCCUAUUAUAUUCAUACCUCAGUAUAAGAGGCGCGGUUGGAUAACUCUUGAGGUUAACACUUUAGAGUUCACUUCACGCCAAACCACCACGUGAGGGUGAACUCAGCUAAUGCCAAGGAAUGACUAUGUUUUCAAAAUAAAAACAUGACUUAUGCGUACAUAACUUUUUAUCAGCCUUGGCGGACUCAGUUGGGAUAGCCCUCGACCAAGGUAUCCCUGAUAACUGAGUAUAAGAAUGAUUUUGGCAUGAGCCAAAGCUUUUAAUAAAUUCAUAAGCCAUGUUGAUUAUUCGAUUUAUAUGAAUUGAUUUUAUUUGGUUGAAACGAGUUGAAAGGUGAUGAAUUACAGUAUGUUAAACUAUUUUAUCUGUCUCCAUUGACUCAACUUUAGAUAUUUUAGAUGAUAUUUGUUUACUUACUGAGAUUAUAUAAUCUCACCACCCUCCUUUCCACCCAUUUCAGGCUCAUGAUAGUAGGUAAAUAGCUCACUUUGUUGAGGGCUACAGUUGGACUUGCAUCCCUAAAAACUGUAAGUUAACCGCUUUUGAUACUUUUGGUCGUUCGUGGGCCCACGUGUCACUGUAAAUUAAAUUUUAUACUUUGGUUAUCUGUAUUACAGUAUUUAUAAAUUUAUUUAGCUCUUACGCUACAAAAAUUAUAUACCGGUAACUCAUAUAUAUUGUUUUAUA
Molecule: long non-coding RNA, 1960 nt
Filed under: Theobroma cacao (cacao)
Lineage: Eukaryota; Viridiplantae; Streptophyta; Magnoliopsida; Malvales; Malvaceae
Description: long non-coding RNA (TCAC_LNC001896)
Source: RNAcentral